AUUUGUUUAACUAUGGCAAUAGAAAGUUAAUUUUGGUUAGCUGCAUAAAAUAGUUUUAUAAUUGUGUAAGAGUUUAUUUUUGCUUAGUUUAUUAGCAGUUAGUUUUUUAUUAGGAUGAAUGUUCUUUAAGAGUACUUAAUAAUAAAGGGGAUAGUGCACAGUGCCAGCAUCCGCGGUUAAUCUGUUUUCUUUGCUUUCUGGUAGACUACUCUUGUGUAUUUAUAGGUAGAAUUAGGUGAAAUUUUUCUAUU
RNAcentral lists this ribosomal RNA (251 nucleotides) under Schizorchis sp. 2 KEG-2011. RNAcentral's name for it is "partial small subunit ribosomal RNA". Lineage: Eukaryota; Metazoa; Platyhelminthes; Cestoda; Cyclophyllidea; Anoplocephalidae. The record is from RNAcentral.